AGUAGUUGUUUGAAAGAACUAGCGGAGGAAGCUUGGCGACGAAUAAGAGGCAGAUUUUUCUAGACAGAUGGGCCUGCGUGGGAAAAGCUGUGGUCACCCCAAGAGUCGUGCGAUCGGGAAACCUGAAUAAGCACAGAGUGUGGUAACCGUAUAGUCUGCGAGAUAGUUGAUAUACUACAAAACUAAUGAGUUGAAUCAAACACUAACUUGCAUGAGUUCGGUGAGUGACUACACUUUGAACAAGUUGGAUCCAGUGUUUUAAUGUUAAACGUUAUGAAGGUACUUCAUUGAAAAUCGUUAAUCUCAAAAAAGUAACUACCACCGAUAACCUUUGUAUGUAAGGUGGCCCAUGGAGUACACUUUGUUGAUCAAGCUAAUGCUACUGACGACACGACACCACACAAGCAAACUCACGUAAGGGAAGUUUUAUGCGGACUGUCCGCUUUGCCUCAAAGGUCGCGUAGUGCAUUCAUAAAACGUUUGUUAACUUAGUGUCAAACAUUCAGAACAGAAACUCUGAGUUUGAGUUAUAUCUGCUUGCCGGUAUCAAGGACUGUUGAUUAUCAAGUCGUUUAUAGAAUUGAAGGUUGUUUAAAAAUGAAGCCCGGCUGCUUUAAAAGCGUUUUGCACUUUUCAAUUGAUACGUUACAAGAUGGUGGUCUCCAUGGUUGGAUUGCUGUGUUGGGUUUGUUUACAACCAAAGUAGUUUGGAAUAUUUUGGUAAAAGGCCUGGGUAUGAUGUUACCUGCCCUACAAGAACAGUUCGACACUUCAACUUGGUUAAUUGGCUGGAUGGUUGCUUUUGUCAACGCAGGAGGAUGUUUCACAGGUAUCCUAGCAACGCCACUAAAGGAGAGAUUUGGCGCCAAGACUGUGGUGACAGUGAGUGGAUUAGUUGCUGGUGUCUCCAUGAUAACUGCGUCAUUCCUGUCCAGUUUAUACACAAUCACCUUCAUCCUUACCGUAUUUGCAGGAUCAGCUGUUGGCAUAUCAUUCGUGAUAACGAAGCAUCUGAUUGGAAGCUGUUUUAAUAAAUCUGUCACAACAGCCUAUGGCGUGGCGGGCCUAGGCAGCUCUGCUACCUUCCUUGCUGUUGUUCCCUUGAUACAGCUUUUCCUGGACAUCUACGGCUGGAGGGGAACAAUGCUUCUACUUGGAGCAUUAUCAUUACAUCUCGCUCUCGUUGGAGCUCUGAUGAAACCACCUGCAGAUAGUGGGAGUCAAGAUGGUUAUGAGGCAGCUCUCACAGACGAGGAGCAAUUAGAGACAGAGGCAGACAAAGUGGCACCAAGCAACCGCUUUGGCUGUUCUUGUUUUGCCAAAGUCUUUUCAUUAACUAGAGAUACAUUCCAGCUUGAAGUGUUCUCAUCCAUAUCCUUCUUGCUGGUUUUAUUUGUGUUCAUCGUGAUGGAACUAACGUAUUGUUCGUGGUUAAUUUACUAUGUGCAGUACACUACUGUGUCGAAAGGAUUCACACUGGUAGACGCCUCACAUUUUGUUGUCGCAUAUGGAAUAGGGAGAACAAUAGCUUCCAUUGUGAUUGGUCCAUUGUUUCAAGCUGUGCAUGUUGUCAGCGCAUACGUAUGGCUUACUGGAUCUUUACUUAUAGUCGCCAUUUAUUAUGCUGUCGAUCCAUGGUUGACGUCAUAUUGGCCGAUUGUUGCGAGUACUUUCUUUUAUGGAAACGCUCUCUCAAUAGCUUUUAUACUCAUAGAUGUUGUCACUAAGAAGAUAUUCGGUAAAGAACGGUUGGGGCAUGCUGUGGGGUUAAUGGGACUUUCGUCAAGUGUGACGUCACUCCUUCUAUUAUAUUUUCCAGGAUUGAUUUACGACUUAACCGGAGACUACACCGUGGCUUUCAGUCUAAUGGCUGGUGUACAGUCACUGGCUGUUGCUGCUGCACUUGGUUUGCGCUGGAGGCAGAAACACCAUCCCAGUUCAUCUGAGGCAUCCCAUCUAGGAACUACAUAGUUUUUACACAUAUAUCGUAACCGAAGGGCUUCAAAACAAUGUGAGACUUUUGGAACGCUUGGUGGCAGCAGACUUACCAGAUGUGCAUUACAAUAUUAACUAAAGUUGUUACGCCAAGCACAUUAACAAGGUAUUUUUUGUUUUAAAUAUGUAAAAGUAUCGAAUGGUCUUCAUUUCAACAUUAAAGCCAUUACAAACGCCUUUCACAAGCAUUUUACAGGCACUUCCGGUUUAGAGAGGUACCAAGGUCAAGAAAGGGUC
RNA transcript from Asterias rubens (European starfish), 2232 nucleotides. It is a transcript of the gene named monocarboxylate transporter 12-like, with no coding region annotated. The record is from RefSeq and is a predicted model, not a curated record. The transcript is spliced from 5 exons. Lineage: Eukaryota; Metazoa; Echinodermata; Asteroidea; Forcipulatida; Asteriidae.